This 253-nucleotide ribosomal RNA is filed under the name uncultured bacterium. Its description in RNAcentral is "partial 16S ribosomal RNA". It matches the Rfam family "Bacterial small subunit ribosomal RNA", at positions 524 to 776 of the family's 1533-position model. The record is from RNAcentral.
UACGUAGGGGGCAAGCGUUGUCCGGAUUUACUGGGCGUAAAGCGUGCGUAGGCGGUUCCUCAAGUCCGUUGUGAAAGCCCCGGGCUCAACCUGGGAAUGGCAGUGGAAACUAGGGGACUGGAAUCUGGCAGAGGGGGGUGGAAUGCCGCGUGUAGCAGUGAAAUGCGUAGAGAUGCGGCGGAACACCGAUGGCGAAGGCAGCCCCCUGGGCUGAGAUUGACGCUCAGGCACGAAAGCGUGGGGAGCAAACAGG